ACACACACACACACGGACGACUGCUGAAUGGAUUCCGUCUCUGUUUCCAUCAUUUGUGUGGGCAAAUGACAAAAGCUCUUUGAACGGAACUCUGAUUUGUCUAUUUGAAUAUUGCUGUAUUUACUCAGCUGUCGUCGGGUGAAAUACAGUCCAUCUCCGCCACAUUAUCGGCCGCCUCCAUCCCCAGUGUGACUGAUAAUAACUCUGCACGCAGUAUUUUCAAUCCUCUCCCAAAUAAUGGCCGUCGCGGGCACCUGUGUUCCUCCUAUUUGAGAAAGUGCUUCUUAUUAUUGAGAUUUAUGAGGCCUCCACCCCGGCGCUCUUGCGGUGGUCCAGUCGCCUCAGAAUUAGUCAUUGGCGUCCCAAGGUUAAUUAGGUUGAUCAUGUCUUUAAAUAGCAGGAUCAUCAUUGCCCCCCCCCACCCCCGGCUGGGCUCCCAUUCAGGAGAUGUCAGGCUUUUCUCUUCCUCUCCUUCCUUUUUUACCAGAUCCUGGCUCCUAAUGUGGGGCAGGCGGGCUAAGUUAGCGCGAAAGUGAAGUUGUCACUCAGAGACAGAGGAGGUGCUGUGCAGUGUGGGCCGGAGGAGCGAGCGCUUUGCCUGCGCCUCGCCUCCAAUCCAGACCAUCUGUGGCCCCAGCUGGAGUGCCAGCGAUGGUCUGGCACUUGUACCGUGCCAUAUUUACAGAUCUAAACACAAAUGGCUACUGCCUGAUUGUUUCACGAUUCAUUAGUCAGACAAGCUCGGCUCUCGCGCCAGCCCAGCUGUUACAGAGUAAACCUUUGUCACUUAAUAGGGCUGCUUAUUGCAUCCCCAUCAAACGUAUUGAUCUGUGGCCUCCUCUUUAAGGUGAGGUGACUGGGAGCACUGGGAUGGACAGGGGGAGGAGACGGGGACACGUUGGGGUCAAAAGGACGUGCAGAGGGUUUAUUGAAAUGUGAUCUGCUGGAUCUAGUCAUGCUGUAGCAGGCACAGAGGAUCCUAACGCCACGGGAGCCUGUCUCUGAACAGCCUUUGUUCUCCACGUACAAGAUUUCACUUUCUGUAGCCUCUCGGAGCAGAGAACAGGUUCCUGGAAAUAUUCAGAUAAAGCCACAGAAGGUCCACGAGUUUGUCCGUGCCCACAGCGCUGACAUUUGCGUGGCGCGUUUCGUGUGGGCAGAAAGUGGAAUUUUACCACUGCCAAAGAGGAGGAAAGAAGAAAGGAGAUGUUUGUGUGGUCACUAAGUAAAUGCAGGACCUUAACUCAGCCCAUUUUAUGUAGUUUUGUUUAUGGUGAGGUCCACUCCAACAGCUGUUAAAAGGACUCUAGUGUCUGAUGUUAGAGGAACAGCAGCCUCAGCAACAGCUGUCCUCAAACCCACGGAGUCGUUCCUUACAAGACAGAGUGAGAGGGAAAAACAAAGUCAAUCCUUGGGUCAAGCGUUUUAGUCCGGCUGGUGAGGAGGGCAUAUUGAUUUUACAUUAGGAGCAGCAGGAUAGUGUCCACGCUGUCAGAAUAAUUCACCGAUCUGGAUCUCCAAGACAAGCUCAGCUAUUGGCUUCCUGCCAUUUCCCAUCCCGUCCAGUAGAACCUGUGAGCGUGUUGUUGUGUGUAAAUGUGUCAGCGCUGAAGGAAUGAGAUUAGCACAAGGUUAAUGUGGGCGGAGUCAGGUGGAGCGAGCAGAACCCCCAACGGAGCGAUGAGGUCCGAUUGAACCAACACCGUGACAUUUGUGCAUGUACGGACUCAGCGAUGAUACAUAACAUUACACGUCUCAGAACUUUAAAGACCUGAUUUAAUUAAGGUGUUAUUAGAUAAUUAGACCAUGUUGAUUAAUGCUCUAUUAAUUCUUCUCAGAUUGAAUUUAACCCUCGAUGACUACAGUGGACAUUAAUUAGUCGUCCAAGCUCUGGAGGCUUCACAGCUCAUUCUUAUUGUGGUUCUUAUUGGUUAUUAUGGCUGCUGCACUCAUUUAAUGGACACACGGUGGUCGUGUGUGCAGUUGACCGGUGGAACCUUCCGUGUUUGCUGGUGUUUGUGUGUGGGGCCGACCCUGGGAGAGGCAGCUGGGGCAGCGGGAGCCUCCGCUGCAUCUAUCAUCACGCUGACAGGGCUGCCGUCCCCACACACUGUUCAAAGUGAGACCUUCAGUAUGGCUGCUUAGCAAAUAAUUGAUGGGGUGCUUCCUGAUUUUGAGGAGAGGAGCGCUUAGACGGCAGCGCAGCCACAAGCGCGUUUAAUGUGAUGCGUGAAUCACCCUUUCAUCACCCGUGAACACGUCUGCAGCAACAAAGCACAGUUUCCCACUUACAGCUUGUUUUAGGUGAUGAGUCCUGGAUGUUUGGUUCUUCUCUGCCUUCACGGUUUCCUCCAUUCCUCAAGGUUCAUCUUUGGUGUGUCACUGACUGAGUCAGAACUAGCUUAGUCGUUCCUGUUCAAUGUGUCUGACCAACCUAUCAAAAAGCACAUUUAGAGCUGGAUGUGUGCAAAACCUUCAUAAAAUCACUGUGAGAACCACAGACUGAGAAUGUGCCGGACCUGAGGACAUCCUCCAUCACGUUCUCUUCUUCAUGACUAUCAUGGAUUUUCAUUCGUUUAUGAUGAGAGACAUGUCUGGACGUCAACCAUACACGUCCAUAUGCGUUCAGAGACUUUGUAGGCAGAUAAAGAUAUAUAGCUCAUCUAAUGAAUGAAUUUAAAUUCAGUAAGAUGUAAUUCUGCCUGUGACAAAGUGAGAAAAAAGACCAACGCGAACAAUUGUGAAACAUUUGUAAAGAGGAUCCAGACAAAACGAUGGUCAAAGCCAAAGCACAGCCCGUUUUUCCCGUCUCGUUGAGUUUGAGGACUCGAGCUGCUGAGCAGUAAAUUAGUCAUGUUUCCCAGAGCUGUGUUCGCUGGCAAAAGGAAAAAAGUUGCAACAUGCAGAACCAUGAAGUUCUGUGAAGUGCUCUUGGCCAGACAUUUGUACUGACAGAACAUGGUGGACAGUGAAGUGUUGCUGCUGUCGUUCCACUUCCUGUUAUUGUCCAGCAUGUUUGAAUGGCGUCUGAGCCCACUGCACCUUCAGCAGAUGGACGGCAAAUAUGGCCUCUGAUUUAUCUGGCCACUGAUUAACUGUGAGAAAACAACACUCCACCAAAUGUGGAUGUGUAUGUGUGUGGUGGGUGGCGGUGGAGGGGAGGACGCUAAUAUAUUCAUGAAAAUGUAUUCAUAAAAAAUGAUAAUUGUGAUCGAAACCCCUCCGAGGAUGAGUCAAUAAAAAGCAGGCGAAAUUGACAGGCGCCUGUUAUAUGGACAGCACUGGCAAUAACAGAUGGGGGGGCAGAGGGACGGACGGAGCACGGCGCCUGAUCACAGCGAAGUGGGUGAGUGUUAAAAUGUUACGCAACCAGCUUUUAUUUCCUUGCCUGCGCUGCCUCAUCAUGCAUGAUUCUGCUGUGGUGUUACAUCUAUUUUCAGGGCACCACGGUUUAACACUUACCAUUGUUACUGCCACUGAUCCGGUGCUACUGGGUCGUCUGGAGGAAUGGACUUAGUUCAUAGUUCAGAGGCUUCGCUUCUUCCUUUGUUUGUUUGUGCUCGUCAGACUUCAGCUCCCUGCUCGUGCGAGUGUUUAGCGGCGACUUGGACCAGAUUCAGACAUAGAUGAAUGUCAGCCAUUAUCGCGGGCGGCCAUUUGUGCUGGUAUUUGACUCGCUAAUGAUCGUCUUCCAGGCGGGGUUCAUCAGCUUCAGUGCAGACACACACACACAUUCAAACUUGGGGCUAAUUUGUUCCUCUGGCUGAUCAUUUCACCCCAACAGUCACCUCGUCCUCACACACACACACACACACACUUCCUCCUGCUUUGCUUUGUGAAGAACUCAGUCACUAUAUGUGUUUCCUGUCUGUUGUCCAGUGAUUUGGCAACAGGCUCUGCAGCGUCGCUGGCCUGCUCAGACCCCCUGCUGCUGUGGGACAGCCGUAUACGUUGCAGACCCACCUGGACGCUGCACCUGCUUCUGUCAGUGGACAUGGCAGGUGACGGGUGUCCGCUCUGUUUGCAGAAAUCACAACCCACCAGGCUUUGUGAGUUAUCACAAGAGUGAUGCAUCUUCCAAUUGAAGGAACCACAAGAUGUUUAAAGGCUGUAGCAUCAGGGCUUCAAGCUGCGUGGAUCCACUCACCGAAGCAGCACCUGUUCACCGGUCGCUCCCUUCAGUCCUUUCCUCCUUUGGUGCCCAGACCAACACUGAUGCUUUUCUCUCGAGGUUUGAAAGUUUAGACACCAACUUGUUUACAUUUAAUAAACGUGGAGAAGCAAAGUUCA
Long non-coding RNA from Betta splendens (Siamese fighting fish), 4290 nucleotides. RefSeq lists it as uncharacterized. The record is from RefSeq and is a predicted model, not a curated record. NCBI's taxonomy places the organism in Eukaryota, Metazoa, Chordata, Actinopteri, Anabantiformes, Osphronemidae. The transcript has 2 exons.